Molecule: ribosomal RNA, 540 nt
Filed under: Triticum aestivum (bread wheat)
Lineage: Eukaryota; Viridiplantae; Streptophyta; Magnoliopsida; Poales; Poaceae
Description: partial small subunit ribosomal RNA
Source: RNAcentral
AUGAGGCGGCCGUGGAGGCAUGGGGUUGUGCCCAGCGGCGGCUGCUUCCUGCAGUGCGUCCGCCCGGGGUUUUGGCUGCGCGUGAGCUUCACCACCCACCCCCUUCCCCAGCAGGGGCGGCUUUGGCCCGGCGGCAGUGGACUUGCACUCCUUCCUGCGUCCAUGGUCGGCCGUCGUGGCUGCGGAUCCGGCGCGCCACGGUGGUUGCGCUCUUUCCGGCACCUUUGGCUCGUUGGUUCCUCGGAAUCUCCGCACCAUCACCGUGCUGGUGUCCUUGGUUGGCCGUCCAUCCCGGCGCAUCUUUGCUCUCGGCCUGCUUCGGGAGCUGCGUCCUCUUCCAGCUCCUUGGAUUUGCCUGUGCUCUGCUACUCCGGUCCCGGUGGCCUUGAUCUGCGCUCUUUCCAGAUCCUAGCUUGUCCGGGGCUGCGGCCACCGUCACAUCCUACCGCCAUUCACUCCGCUCAGCCAUGCAUCCUUACCCUCCUCCAGAGCGGCGCCCGGUGCCUCCUUCGGCGUCGGGCAUGGCUCCCCUUCCUAUAG